Molecule: long non-coding RNA, 2086 nt
Filed under: Homo sapiens (human)
Lineage: Eukaryota; Metazoa; Chordata; Mammalia; Primates; Hominidae
Description: HSALNT0093166
Source: RNAcentral
CCGGCUUUGGGUCUUUGGAUUGAGUGUCCCCAAAGAGGCCGCUGAGCUUGGUGACGCUGCUCAUGGAGCCCCGGCGCGAGUGGGUGAGCUCCUUCUCCUUGCGCUGCACCACAGCCACGUCUUUGCGCCGAUGAUCACAGACGCAGUAGACGGUGAUGCCCGAGAAGACGGCCCCCAUGACGAAAGCCAGGAUGACUGCAAUGGCCAAGAGGGUGACGGGAACCAGCUGGUCGUGGCCUUUGAGGGUCCUCCUCCCUUCAAUUGUGACAUCACAGUUGGUUGCUGUGGAAAUGAUUGUCCUGUGACAAAGGAUUGUGACUUAAGUAGAAGCAGCAAAUAUCUCUUAAGAAAUAAAGAUUCUGUGAUCCAACAAAUACCCUUGGUAAUAAAAGGCAGUCAAGGCAAUUCACCAUAAGGAAAGAGUGUACAAGACGGUAAGAUAUCAAAUAAUUUUCAAAUGUGAUACUUUUCAAAUAUUUCCAGAUUUAUCUCCAUCAGCUUUUAAGGGGUAGAAACUGAGAAGCAAAAAACAGCCGGAAAUUUGGCUGUAACUCACACCUUUUAUGUGUGAAGCUCCCCAAACAGUGGGGUGUCCUGCAUUCAAAUAUAUUUUAGUACCUAUUCACCAAGGAAAUGUGCUAAUGAAAAUUUUCUUUCUUAAAUUUGCAUUUCCUUAUUAUGCUAAAAUAGCUACUGAUUUUUCUUCAAUUUUGAUUAUGUAUGGGGUUCUACCGAACACCGUUUUUAACCCCCUACAUAUAAUUGCACAAAAAUGUACACCUGUGGAUAAAAUGGUUUUAAUUUCUCUCAUUGACUUGGUGAUUUCAGUGGGAGUUGAACACAGGCUAGACGGCCCCAGUAAUGGGGUGGGGGUGUAUUAGGUGUUUUUUUCAUGGCAAUGAGUAUUUCAUGAAACCCUUCCAGGCUACCAAAUUUAGGGGGACUGGAUAUUCCCAAUAAAUGUGUAUUAUAAUAGGAAGCUAUUUACAAUUGACUUUGGCAUUCUACAAUUUAAACUGCCCUCUCAGUUUAAAAGGAACGUGGAAAGAGUAAAGCUAGAGCAAUUCAUUGGUUUCACUGGGAAAACUGCAAAUUUUUCACAUGUAUCCAUUGCUUCUUAGCCUUACUUUUAGCUCCCAAAUAUCAUUCUUCUUUCAUGUCUGAAGGUCCUUGGCUAUUUUAGACUCAUGAAAGCUACUUAUUCUUUCACUGGGAAGAACUCUUUUUUAGUGGAUGAUAUUUGAGUUCAGGUUUUUGGUUGUUAACAAGUUAAGUAGGAUCUGACCUUUCAGGAAAAUGGUAUCUCAGACAGAUUUUUUCCCCCGUCUCAUUUUGUUAUAUAAAGAGUGGCCUUAAAAACAUUUUUGCAUGUCUUCAUCUAUCCAUGGGGAGGCAGAGGGCUUUCCUCAUCUGCUUGUGUAAAUUCAGAAACGUCCAAAGAUGGAAACAGAUCAGAGAGUAAGUUGAAAGUGCAGUUGAAGAAGAUAAGGUAAACGUUAUUUUUGGAAAUGCCUUUCAAACUUAAAGCUUUCUGCUUAUAUCAUGAAAAAGGCCAAAGAAGCAUUCACAGAAAUGAUCAAGUCAACUUUGUGGAAUAGCCAUUGUGAAGGCUUGGAAACAGCAGACUUGUCAGUAGUGGUGAUAAAAGCAGCUAGAGAAGAUCUCAGUGGGCUUGGAAUUGCAGGCUCCCACUUACUGGCUGGGUGACCUUUUGGCAAGUGACUUAACAUCUCUGGGCCUCAGUUUUUUUAUCUGUAGCAUGAGGUGAACACACCUAAUCUUACUGCCUUACUGGAUUGUUACAAGAAUCAAAGGAAAUAAAAAAUAGGAAAGAGCUUAAAUGCUGUAGUUUGCUGGACAAAUCUAAAGCUCAAAAGAAGCCACAAAGGAGAAGUGGUGGGUUAGUGGCUCACAGAGGGCUUCCAAGUGAUAGUCGCAGCUGCUCCAUUGGAUUCCAUUUGCUAUUGGUCUCCCAUGGGAGAGGAGUAGACCUGUGCUUCCAGGUCCAAACUUCGUGCCUUCUAAAUGUAGUCAAAAAGGUGAUAUGAGAUUUCGAAGCAAUAUAAGGGAAUGCAUACUGUUUCAG